RNAcentral lists this unclassified non-coding RNA (377 nucleotides) under uncultured Parachlamydiaceae bacterium. Its description in RNAcentral is "contains 16S-23S intergenic spacer region". The record is from RNAcentral. Lineage: Bacteria; Pseudomonadati; Chlamydiota; Chlamydiia; Parachlamydiales; Parachlamydiaceae.
UCCUGGUUAACCCAGGCAGUCUCGCUAGAGUUCCCAACUUAAAUGAUGGCAACUAACGACAAGGGUUGCGCUCGUUGCGGGACUUAACCCAACACCUCACGGCACGAGCUGACGACAGCCAUGCAGCACCUGUGCACAGGCCCCGAAGGGAGGCUGCAUUUCUGCAGCUGUCCUGUGCAUGUCAAGCCUGGGUAAGGUUCUUCGCGUUGCAUCGAAUUAAACCACAUGCUCCACUGCUUGUGCGGGUCCCCGUCAAUUCUUUUGAGUUUCAGCCUUGCGACUGUACUUCCCAGGCGGUAUACUUAUCGCGUUCGCUACGGCACAGCCGGGGUUGAGUCCAGCUACACCAAGUAUACAUAGUUUACGGCAAGGACUAC